UACGUAGGUCCCGAGCGUUGUCCGGAUUUAUUGGGCGUAAAGCGAGCGCAGGUGGUUUAUUAAGUCUGGUGUAAAAGGCAGUAGCUCAACCAUUGUAUGCAUUGGAAACUGGUAGACUUGAGUGCAGGAGAGGAGAGUGGAAUUCCAUAUGUAGCGGUGAAAUGCGUAGAUAUAUGGAGGAACACCGGUGGCGAAAGCGGCUCUCUGGCCUGUAACUGACACUGAGGCUCGAAAGCGUGGGGAGCAAACAGG
Molecule: ribosomal RNA, 252 nt
Filed under: uncultured bacterium
Lineage: Bacteria
Description: partial 16S ribosomal RNA
Rfam family: Bacterial small subunit ribosomal RNA
Source: RNAcentral